This 72-nucleotide transfer RNA is filed under the name Camelus ferus (Wild Bactrian camel). It matches the Rfam family "tRNA". Rfam says of the family: Transfer RNA (tRNA) molecules are approximately 80 nucleotides in length. Their secondary structure includes four short double-helical elements and three loops (D, anti-codon, and T loops). Lineage: Eukaryota; Metazoa; Chordata; Mammalia; Artiodactyla; Camelidae. The record is from Rfam by way of RNAcentral.
GAAGGCAUAGCUCAGUGGUACAGUGUGUGCUUAGCUUUCACAAGAUCCUGGGUUCAAUCCCCAGUAUCUCCA